UAACAAGGUAGCCGUAGGGGAACCUGCGGCUGGAUCACCUCCUUU
Molecule: ribosomal RNA, 45 nt
Filed under: Bradyrhizobium japonicum
Lineage: Bacteria; Pseudomonadati; Pseudomonadota; Alphaproteobacteria; Hyphomicrobiales; Nitrobacteraceae
Also listed under: 426 other names
Description: partial 16S ribosomal RNA
Source: RNAcentral